Molecule: long non-coding RNA, 1271 nt
Organism: Mirounga angustirostris (Northern elephant seal)
Lineage: Eukaryota; Metazoa; Chordata; Mammalia; Carnivora; Phocidae
Exons: 3
Source: RefSeq, a predicted model, not a curated record
CAGAGCGGCCGGUAGGACUUGUGGCUGGUGUUCUCGGCCAUGCCCUUGCCCCAGAAGUCGUUGGUGAAGAUGCCCCAGCGGAGCGCGGCUCCGGGCCGCACGUCGGGGUUGUUCACGAUCGCCCACACGUCGUCGUGCACGAACUCGCCCUGCAGGGAGCGGCCGUAGCACAGGCAGCUCGCCCCGGCCAGCAGCGCCGCGGCCCCGGCCGGCGCCAGUCCGCAGCCCCGCCGCCGGGAGGGCGCGCGGUCCCCGCCGCCGCCUCGGGCAGAGCCUGUCACCACCAUCGUGCCGCCGCCGCCACCGCUGCCCUGGCCGCUCCCGGGCGUCUGGCAUCCUCGCCGGCCGGGGCCCCGGCGGCGCGCCGCGGCUGCCCGGAGGUGGGCUCUGGCAUGGUGCGGCGGCAGCUGGACCCGCCGCUGGCGCCCCGCGCUCCGCCUGCGCCGCCGAGUUGGCCCAGCUGCAAAUAAACAGCAGUCCCCCGCCUCCCCCGGCCAUCGCCACCUCCUCCGCCCCACUGCGCAUGCCCCGCUCGCUCUCGCCUCCACCCGCCCCCCUCCAUCCCCGGACGAGGGCCGCCCCCCCCCCAGCACCCUCCGCUCCCGCCCCGCUCGCCGCCGCACUCAGCGCCCGGCGCCCGCGUCCCCGGCCGCCGGAGUUCGCGCGCAGGUGGAGCGCGGGCGCGGCGCGGGGCUGCCCGAGAGGCGGAGAAGGGCCAGCGGGGUCCUGCCUGGCGCUCCCGGCCGUGCUCACCGCCGCCCCCCAAUCACGCACCCCCACCCAGGGGGCUGGGAGGGCCGCAUCUGCCCGCACCUCCGGGCCCAGGGCCAGGGCGGGCCUAGCAGUUUCUUCUUAAACUCUUGAGAUGAUCGGGAGAUGCAGAGCAAAUUCCUCCUCCUUCUCUUUCAAGUGGAUCACUUGGGUCUGAUGAUUAAUUUCUGGGCACCGAACGUAUUUCAACUGUUUCUGCUAACAAUACUGAAAGAGUUGCAGGGAAGAAGGUGAGGAUCCUUGACAAUGGAGAGCAGUGAAGGAGUUGCUCAAGUGCAGAGAGCUGGGACGCCAGAGAGACAGUUGAAAGGGACAGAAGAAAAAGAAAUUUCACAGCUUGAGUCCUGGUUUCUGAGCACUCAGUGUUUCAUUAAACUUUCCUCUAGAUUCAGGGCCAUCUGCCUUCUAUCUGUUUCAGACGAUGCGUUUGAGAUUAAUUUUAUUUAAGAUAUUCAGGUAUUUUACAUCUUCUCAGACACAAAACAAUAAAUAUUUUUAAA